CUUACGGCCUGGGCUACACACGUGCUACAAUGGUCGGUACAAAGGGUUGCCAAGCCGCGAGGUGGAGCUAAUCCCAUAAAACCGAUCGUAGUCCGGAUCGCAGUCUGCAACUCGACUGCGUGAAGUCGGAAUCGCUAGUAAUCGUGAAUCAGAAUGUCACGGUGAAUACGUUCCCGGGCCUUGUACACACCGCCCGUCACACCAUGGGAGUGGGUUGCUCCAGAAGUAGCUAGUCUAACCUUCGGGGGGACGGUUACCACGGAGUGAUUCAUGACUGGGGUGAAGUCGUAACAAGGUAGCCGUAGGGGAACCUGCGGUUGGAUCACCUCCU
Molecule: ribosomal RNA, 331 nt
Filed under: Pseudomonas sp.
Lineage: Bacteria; Pseudomonadati; Pseudomonadota; Gammaproteobacteria; Pseudomonadales; Pseudomonadaceae
Description: bacterial SSU rRNA
Rfam family: Bacterial small subunit ribosomal RNA
Source: RNAcentral